GAUGAACGCUGGCGGCGUGCCUAAUACAUGCAAGUCGAGCGAACAGACGAGGAGCUUGCUCCUCUGACGUUAGCGGCGGACGGGUGAGUAACACGUGGAUAACCUACCUAUAAGACUGGGAUAACUUCGGGAAACCGGAGCUAAUACCGGAUAAUAUAUUGAACCGCAUGGUUCAAUAGUGAAAGACGGUUUUGCUGUCACUUAUAGAUGGAUCCGCGCCGCAUUAGCUAGUUGGUAAGGUAACGGCUUACCAAGGCAACGAUGCGUAGCCGACCUGAGAGGGUGAUCGGCCACACUGGAACUGAGACACGGUCCAGACUCCUACGGGAGGCAGCAGUAGGGAAUCUUCCGCAAUGGGCGAAAGCUUGACGGAGCAACGCCGCGUGAGUGAUGAAGGUCUUCGGGUCGUAAAACUCUGUUAUUAGGGAAGAACAAAUGUGUAAGUAACUAUGCACGUCUUGACGGUACCUAAUCAGAAAGCCACGGCUAACUACGU
This 496-nucleotide ribosomal RNA is filed under the name uncultured bacterium. RNAcentral describes it as "partial 16S ribosomal RNA". It matches the Rfam family "Bacterial small subunit ribosomal RNA", at positions 28 to 506 of the family's 1533-position model. The record is from RNAcentral.